AUAGCAUCACGUUUAAACACCGGUUCCCGUACUAUCUCGAUAAGUUAAGCAACGUUGAGCCUGGUCAGUACCUAGAUGGGUGACCAUUUGGAAAUAUCAGGUGCUGUAA
This is a non-coding RNA of Acanthosepion pharaonis, 109 nucleotides long. The record is from the annotation of a GenBank genome assembly. Lineage: Eukaryota; Metazoa; Mollusca; Cephalopoda; Sepiida; Sepiidae.